Molecule: ribosomal RNA, 541 nt
Filed under: Epicoccum sorghinum
Lineage: Eukaryota; Fungi; Ascomycota; Dothideomycetes; Pleosporales; Didymellaceae
Description: eukaryotic LSU rRNA
Rfam family: 5.8S ribosomal RNA (bases 175-328)
Source: RNAcentral
CUUCCGUAAGGGGUACCUGCGGAAGGAUCAUUACCUAGAGUUGUAGGCUUUGCCUGCUAUCUCUUACCCAUGUCUUUUGAGUACCUUACGUUUCCUCGGUGGGUUCGCCCACCGAUUGGACAAAUUUAAACCCUUUGCAGUUGAAAUCAGCGUCUGAAAAAACUUAAUAGUUACAACUUUCAACAACGGAUCUCUUGGUUCUGGCAUCGAUGAAGAACGCAGCGAAAUGCGAUAAGUAGUGUGAAUUGCAGAAUUCAGUGAAUCAUCGAAUCUUUGAACGCACAUUGCGCCCCUUGGUAUUCCAUGGGGCAUGCCUGUUCGAGCGUCAUUUGUACCUUCAAGCUCUGCUUGGUGUUGGGUGUUUGUCUCCUGUAGACUCGCCUUAAAACAAUUGGCAGCCGGCGUAUUGAUUUCGGAGCGCAGUACAUCUCGCGCUUUGCACUCAUAACGACGACAUCCAAAAGUACAUUUUUACACUCUUGACCUCGGAUCAGGUAGGGAUACCCGCUGAACUUAAGCAUAUCAAAAGCCGGGAGGAAGG